GUCCAGCUGACGAGUCCCAAGUAGGACAAAAUGCGCGUCCUACAC
Schistosoma haematobium is the source of this 45-nucleotide non-coding RNA. Lineage: Eukaryota; Metazoa; Platyhelminthes; Trematoda; Strigeidida; Schistosomatidae. The record is from Rfam.